Molecule: ribosomal RNA, 1547 nt
Filed under: Acinetobacter baumannii
Lineage: Bacteria; Pseudomonadati; Pseudomonadota; Gammaproteobacteria; Moraxellales; Moraxellaceae
Description: bacterial SSU rRNA
Rfam family: Bacterial small subunit ribosomal RNA
Source: RNAcentral
UUUAACUGAAGAGUUUGAUCAUGGCUCAGAUUGAACGCUGGCGGCAGGCUUAACACAUGCAAGUCGAGCGGGGGAAGGUAGCUUGCUACUGGACCUAGCGGCGGACGGGUGAGUAAUGCUUAGGAAUCUGCCUAUUAGUGGGGGACAACAUCUCGAAAGGGAUGCUAAUACCGCAUACGUCCUACGGGAGAAAGCAGGGGAUCUUCGGACCUUGCGCUAAUAGAUGAGCCUAAGUCGGAUUAGCUAGUUGGUGGGGUAAAGGCCUACCAAGGCGACGAUCUGUAGCGGGUCUGAGAGGAUGAUCCGCCACACUGGGACUGAGACACGGCCCAGACUCCUACGGGAGGCAGCAGUGGGGAAUAUUGGACAAUGGGGGGAACCCUGAUCCAGCCAUGCCGCGUGUGUGAAGAAGGCCUUAUGGUUGUAAAGCACUUUAAGCGAGGAGGAGGCUACUUUAGUUAAUACCUAGAGAUAGUGGACGUUACUCGCAGAAUAAGCACCGGCUAACUCUGUGCCAGCAGCCGCGGUAAUACAGAGGGUGCGAGCGUUAAUCGGAUUUACUGGGCGUAAAGCGUGCGUAGGCGGCUUAUUAAGUCGGAUGUGAAAUCCCCGAGCUUAACUUGGGAAUUGCAUUCGAUACUGGUGAGCUAGAGUAUGGGAGAGGAUGGUAGAAUUCCAGGUGUAGCGGUGAAAUGCGCGUAGAGAUCUGGAGGAAUACCGAUGGCGAAGGCAGCCAUCUGGCCUAAUACUGACGCUGAGGUACGAAAGCAUGGGGAGCAAACAGGAUUAGAUACCCUGGUAGUCCAUGCCGUAAACGAUGUCUACUAGCCGUUGGGGCCUUUGAGGCUUUAGUGGCGCAGCUAACGCGAUAAGUAGACCGCCUGGGGAGUACGGUCGCAAGACUAAAACUCAAAUGAAUUGACGGGGGCCCGCACAAGCGGUGGAGCAUGUGGUUUAAUUCGAUGCAACGCGAAGAACCUUACCUGGCCUUGACAUACUAGAAACUUUCCAGAGAUGGAUUGGUGCCUUCGGGAAUCUAGAUACAGGUGCUGCAUGGCUGUCGUCAGGCUCGUGUCGUGAGAUGUUGGGUUAAGUCCCGCAACGAGCGCAACCCUUUUCCUUACUUGCCAGCAUUUCGGAUGGGAACUUUAAGGAUACUGCCAGUGACAAACUGGAGGAAGGCGGGGACGACGUCAAGUCAUCAUGGCCCUUACGGCCAGGGCUACACACGUGCUACAAUGGUCGGUACAAAGGGUUGCUACACAGCGAUGUGAUGCUAAUCUCAAAAAGCCGAUCGUAGUCCGGAUUGGAGUCUGCAACUCGACUCCAUGAAGUCGGAAUCGCUAGUAAUCGCGGAUCAGAAUGCCGCGGUGAAUACGUUCCCGGGCCUUGUACACACCGCCCGUCACACCAUGGGAGUUUGUUGCACCAGAAGUAGCUAGCCUAACUGCAAAGAGGGCGGUUACCACGGUGUGGCCGAUGACUGGGGUGAAGUCGUAACAAGGUAGCCGUAGGGGAACCUGCGGCUGGAUCACCUCCUUAACGAA